AUUAAUAAUAAUAAUAAUAAUAAUAAUAUGUUCUUAAAUAGAAUCUUCUUUCACUCCGGACAUACUAACUUCUGUAUUACUAUUGUUUAUAUCUGGAAACCUAUGUAAAAAUAUUGAAGAGAGAGGAUUAUAGCUUCUGCUCAUACUUGCAUGCUGGGAAUGAUUCCAGUUCUUUUUUUUUUCUUUUUUCCUUUUUUCUUGUUCUUCAGUUCCAGCUCUGAUUGAACCUGUGAUCUAGCAAUCUACCAGGGUCCACAGUGUCCAACGUGUCUUUCUUUUCUAAGACAGCAGGAUGUGAUCUGAGGGAGAUAUGGCUGCUAAUUCUAGCUAUGUGGAGUGACCACAUAGAAGCCGUCCCAUCGGCUUCCUACCUCCCCACCAUAAUGUUUUUCUCUCCUUGUUUUGCCAUUUGAGUAACCUAGGCAAAUUCGAACCAUUUCGGUCGGAAGUCAACAUCCAGAACUCUUCCUGUCUUUAUAUCUUCAUCAAAUUUUUCAAGAUUUUUUUCUUAGUUCCUCAAAUAUAUUCAAAAGAUUUUGUAUUCUUCAACUUUUCAAGUGGUUCCUUUUGUAAUCAUUUUUUAAUAUUUUUCUUCAUAUAAAUGACUAAGAUAGAAUUUUAGUAGUCGUAGUACAAGUAGUGGUAGUAGUGUAACUAGUGGUAGUAGUGGUGGUGGUGGUAGUGGCUCGUUAGUAAUAGUAGUGAUGGAGGUGGGGUGGGGGAUGUUUGGAAGUUUACCAAUUGUGAAUUUAAAUCAUGAACAAAGUGGUUUAGCUAUCCAGAACUUUUGACCGAAAUCUUGCAAGACAAAAAGAGACAGCUCUUGGAUUCCAGGGGUUGGUAGCUAGGUGGUUGGGUGGCAAUGGGGUUGGUUUAUUUCAGGUUUCAAAGAGUUCUGUGAGGAUUUCAUUUCUUUCGUUCUUUCUUUUUUGAGGUAGAGGCCCUUCAGAUAUUCAAGGUCCCAUGGUCCCCUCCAUGCCCUACACUGGUGAUAGAGCCACUGAUACAUGUUAUCAUAUAGGCCUUGCCAAUAUUACAGAUUGCAGUUAGACAGUGAUUGGUGGUGGGGGUCUCUGGUGAGUUUGGUUGGCUCUAUGCAGGGGAUGCCUCUGGGACCCCUAACCUAAGGUGCCCCAGCCCCAUUGACAAAGAGCAUAGAGAGACAGAGAGAGAGACUGAAAUUUAAAAUAAGAAUUGAAACCCCUUGGGUAGGGUUUUGUUUUUUUAAUUUUGGACCCUCUUUCUACCAAAUACCAGUACUGGGUGGCACUGUGUCGAUGUUACCAACAUGAGACAGUAGUCAAGAUGUGAAUUUUAACUAAGCAAGAAUUAAAUAUAUCUGGAAAUUAUUAAAAGACCUGUUUAAUUAUUUACAAUGAUUGAACAAUGAAUUGACCCCUGGAUGAAGUCUUGAAAGGGGUUUCAUAUUGGUCAGCUUCACUUAAGCCUAAGGGUCCGAUUCUGACACCCAUUUGUUCCUUACAGCUUUCUGAACACAACUGAAGUAAACUGCCUUAAUAUACAAGAGUACCAGUAAUAUCCUGGGGUUGAUUUAGUCAGUCAAUUAGCUUUACAAAACAAUUUAGCACCCUUCCUCCUAAUAAUAAUGUCAGCCUAAAUGACCUUACAGGACUUUUGUCCUUCUGGGGUCAGAGUUCAAACCCAUACUCUGAUUUGACCUCUGUCUCUUUUAGGAUGCUGGUGUGUGGGUGUCAUUGUGUUGGAUGGGGUAGGUAAUAAAAUCAGUACCAGUAAUUCACUUGGGUUGAUCUAAUCCUGUAUCAGUGGUGGUGGAGGUGGUUGCACUGAAGAUUUAAAAAAACACAUUCCCCCCCCACCUAGUUUUGGGUCCUUCUACACUGCUCAGUUCCUUGGAUGGCUUUAGUUUCUUGGCACGUAGUUUUGCACAAUAAUGGUCAUUGUAUGCCAUUCUUGGAAUCUCACCGUGAAGCUUUCUUUAUUCAUUGGUUUCUAGUCAAUUAGCUCUCUGGUGCUUCUUCGGUAAGCACCAUGCCCACAACAUAGAUGUGUUAGUCUUUAUGACUGGAGUGGACGAAGGUCCUACCACCAUCAUCACUGUCAAUCUUUCUGCUCUUUGUCCAACUCACUUCACUUAAGCCUAAGAUGUCCAGCUAAUAUCUAUCAAACUCUCUCAACAAUUGGGUUAGUCUUCCAGUUUAGUACAGUUUUUGUACAUUCUAAGUUCCAGUCUUAGCUGUGGCUUUGGUCCUCAGAAUCAGGUUCUUUGAUUAAAACAGAGGUCACAUGAUUUACCAUAUUUAAUAAGAUUAGGCUGGUUUCCAGCUUGUUAAAUUUGUCCUUUGCUAUGGUGAAGUAUUCUGUGGUCACAGACUCUGAAGAUAACUUCUUUCCACCUAUCUUCUGUCAGAUUUUGGAGGCCCUGUUAAGGGCCACAGACUUGCCCUUUCCCAUUCAAAUAAAACCAUUAAAAAAAUAACAAUGAAAUUUUUUUUAAAUAACAAAUUUCAGAAGUUUAACUUUUUUAAUUAAAUUUCUGGUUUUUUUUAACUUUUAAUUUUUUUUUUUUGUUAAAUAAAAAAUAUUCUCAAUAUCUCCCCCAGAAAAAACUCCCACCCCAAAAGAUUACCCCUAACCAAAACAAAAAAAAAGCCAUCCCAUGAAAUUUUUAUGUUUUGUUUUUUAUUUUUUUUGCAUUUAAUUUUGAUUUUGUUUUUUAGAGUGUUUUCUUUUUUGUUUAUUUUAGUUUGCUUUUUUGUUUUGUUUUCAAUUUUAUCCCCUCCUACCAAAAAAAUAUUUUUAAUAAAUAAACAAAUAAAUAAAUAAUUUUGCCUUUUUUAUUGUUUUAUUUUAUUGUUUUUGUUUUCAUUUUAAUUUUCAUUCUAAUAUUUAAUGUUGCCUGUUUUUUUUUUCUCCCCCUUUGAUUUAUCUUUCCCCAGUGUAUCACUGGUUGUAAUUUCUCCAUAACAAACUAAUUUCAUGGUGAUGUGACUGAAGUAUCAACGUGUGACUUAUAGUGUAUGGCAGUGUGACAUGACGUAGGAUGAUGUGACUGAAAAUUAUGGUGACAUGAGCUGAGAUGUAAGAUGGUGUGACAGAAGAUGAAUGGUGGUGUGACAGGAAAUGUAGGGUGGUGUGACAGGAGGUGUAUGGUAGUGUGACAGAUAGGAUGUGACAGAAGGUGUGUGGUGGUGCAACAAAAGAUGAAAGGAUGAAAUAGAAAUGGUUUUUAUACCCAUUCCUUACCUUUAGAGACUAUCAUCACUAGGUUACCAAUUCUAGCAACUACUGUUAUGGUUUAUUGAAGAACUAAGAAAUAAUGAAGUUACUUGGAAUAAUAUAUAGGAAUAUAUAUGUUCUAAGAAUUACAGAAGAACCAGAAAUAAAUGAAUAUGAAAAUAAAAUGAAGUUUUAAAUAUUUAACCCCAUGAAGAUAGUGUCCCAGCAUGGCCACAGUCCAAUGACUGAAAGGAAUAAAAGAAAAUAUGGAAAAAUGAAUAUCAGCUAGUUUUAUUUUUUUGUUUUUUUUUCUUAGUGUUUCCUCCAAUUUCAGACAAUAGCAUACUAGGUAUGUUCUUUCCCAGUCCAUUUCAUAUAUCUGGUUCCAUGUUUGACUGGUUGUAUAGAGUAUAGAGAGGCAUUCAGAGUUUGGCAUUUAUUCCAUGUUGCUGUUUGGUUUAAUAUCUAUGUAUGGCUAAAGGUCAAUGAUGUCUUAGAGGUGGAAUGGACUAUUGAGUCUGUGGUCUUCAUUUGUUUGUUUCUUUGGAUUUAUUAACAGUGGUGGGCACCUCAGUACAAAAGUUGGUUGCAUUUUGGUAAUUUUUGACACAUCAAUUUUGCUGUAGGAUGUAUUUUUGGUAUUUUGGUGCCAAUAUUGAAUACUGUUGUUUGAAUCUCUUUGAGCAAAUCUUUCAAACGAGCUGAAGAACCAUCUGUAAGUUUCGUGUGUCUGAAAAUGAUGAAUAUUGUUCUUCAAGACCAUGUUGUAUACUCUGUGGCAUGGAGAGGUAGAUGUCCGUGCUAUCAAUGUCUUCUUGAUGCAGUUAGAACCAAGAUGCUUCACAGAAAGAUGGACCAAGAAUUACCGUCCCACAACUUUGGUAAAUUUUUGGUGUCAUGUUGUGUGUUUCUGCCAAUAAUUGUAACUGAAUUGUCUUUGGGGUGCUGGAGUCUCCAAAAUAUAACAUCUGAUGUGACCUGGUGUUCAACACAAUAAUAGUAACUAGCAAAGCCUCCCUACCCUGAGUUGAGCAACAAUAACAGAUUUGUGGAAACAUGGUAUGUUUCCACAAAUCUCAUUGGGUCUUGAACUCAUGUUUUGUGUCCGUGGAGCUCAUUCUUCAUAAUCCAGGAUUCAGCUUGACAAAUGGUCUCUCUUUUAUGACUUGAUUUUCCCAAUAUAGCAGCUAAAUCUUCAGCGAUCUAUUUCCCUGCUGUCUCUUAUAUAAGAAUUCCCUGCAACAAAACCUAAAUCCAAUCCCAGAAUCUGUUCCUCACUGCAAUAUUGACUGGAAUCAUUAUCAAAUUUGCUUUGGAAUUAUUUAAAUAUUUGGAAUUUCUUAAACAAAUGGAAUUCAUUCUUGAAGGAAGAAUUUUAACUUUUUUUCUCUCUUUUAUACACAAGGCGUUACUAUUUUCAUAUUCCGUCUGAAUAAUUUGGCUUGGUUCUUAUUGUCUUUGAUACUAGUUACCUUUGUGGUUGGUAUCGUGUUUAAUGUUGCAGUUAUUGUCGUAGUAGUCCUAUUUCAAGACGGAAUAACAAAGAAAGCAUUAAAUUGUGUUUAACUUUAUUUUCUUAUUUCAAUAUCUUAAGCUAUUCUCUUGAUAUCUCUUUUUACAUUCAAUAUCUUGUACAAAAUUUAAUAUCUUCUACAUUUGAUAUUUCUUAAUUCAAUUCCUUCUAUAUCCAAAGCAAUAUUUUCUUUCUUAUUUGAUACAACAUUUAAUUCUCUCUAUAUUCUUCAUCUUGUUCUCAAUGCAUCCUAUUUCUCUCCCUCCAUCCUCUUUAUCUCUCUCCUCUCUCUCUCUCAUAUAUAUAUAUACAUAUAAAAUUUAUCUCUCUAUCCAUGCUGGUUGUCCAAGAGAUGUUACCAACAAGACAAAUACAUAAACCAAAUUUUUAUUCCCAUAUAAAACAAAUUCCAAUUAUUUGUGUUUUUAAUGUUCUGUGGGGAAGCAUGAACACAACAACUUCACCGUUCCCCCACCUUUGAAUGUAGUCAAUAGCAAUUUACAUUUUAUUACUUUGCUAAAUCAAGCAACGAUUCUUCACUAGUAUUUGGUAUUUUUUGUUAUGAAUGUACAAACAUACUUGCAAAAUUGCUAUAGUCAUAAACAUGUGGUUAAGAAGCACAUGUCUUCAACAAAAUGGUUCUGGGUUCAGUCCCACCGCAUGCUUAAAGCCUUGGCUUAAUGAAUAUUUUAUGAAUGGAAUUUGGUAGAUGAAAUAGUACAAAAGUUCAGUGUGUGUCUGUGCAACCAUAGAUGAAUGUAUAUGUAUAUAUAUCUGUGUGUGUGUGCGCGCACAUAUAUUCAUAUCUACUUGUAUGUGUCUUAUAUUGUGGCACCAAGCUAACCAAUCCCUUGUGAGGAAAUCUGGUAAAUGGAGACUAUAUGAACCCUGUAAUAUCUAUUUAUCUGGGAAUGUUUACAUCCUGUGCUUUGCAUGAAAAUGUGCUGAACUAAAAACGGUGAUGGUUUGUUGUCAUUUCUCCUGUAAACAAAUUGUAUGUUAGUUCUGCUUUUUUGAAAAUGUGCAGAAAAAUCAAAAGACCUCCUACUGGAAAAAGAGGUAAUGUUAAUGAGGAAAGGCAUCCAGCUGUAAAGUUAAGCCACAAUAACAAGUAUUCAUCUAUCCCCAACCUAGAAUAGGAAAAGCAAUUUAAAUUAAAUGAAUAUGAUAGGACGAUUGGGAUGGAAUCAGUAUCAGGGGUUUCAUAUCAUUAGCAUUUGUGUUGAUCAUGGCUAUAUAACUUAGCCCUUGGUAGCCCUGUUCACUUGGCUGUAAAUAGGUACCACAGCAUAGCAUAAUGUGUAAGUAGCAGGAGCGCUGUAUAUUUAAUGUGCUUCCAGUUGUCUUGAUUGCACCAUUCUUUUCCAUCUUAAGCCAAAUUGCUUAACCCUUUCGUUACUGUAUUUAUUUUGAAAUACUCUGUGUUUCUUUCAGUUACUUCAAAUAUAACAAAGAAUUUAGUAAAAUAACUUAGUUAUUAUUAAGCUAGUGUUAGGAACAUAAAUUGUGACUAAGGUUCGAUGGAAGAUUUUAAUUCAAAACUCAUGAAAACAAGACAUUUGUAUUCAGAGCCAGAGCCGGUUUCAGCCAGGUUGGUAACGAAAGGGUUAACCAAGUUGUCUUCUCAUCCUCAUAGAGGUUUUCCAAGUGGCCUUUUCCCAUCUUUUGGAUAUCACUCAGCAACUGCACAGGUCCACCUGUUGUCUGUGAACCUUGUGGCAUGUCUGGCCCAGUGGAAUUUGUGCUUUCGAUAUUCUGCGAACACAUUGGUCACUCUGCUCUGUUCUUGAAUGAUCUCAUUUCAAAUGUGCUUUCUUAAUAUUGGAUUCAAAUUCUCCAAUUGACUGGUAUUGGCUACAUCCACAUGCCUAAAAGGCAUGACCUUUGACCUUCGUAUGAGAGGGUCACAUGAAAGAAAUUCUAGUUUGGUAAUUAUAUUUCUUUCUUUAUUGUUCCAUUGGUACUACCAUUAAGGUGGCAGUCAGUUGGCAGAAUUCUUCAAAUGGCAAAUUUUAUUAAAGUCACUUUAUGUUCUGAGUCAUAUUUCACCAAAUUCAGGUCGUUUUCCAGUCUUCAGCACCGGACAUUUAUUGUAGUAAAUUUAGAAAUUUACUAAAUGGAAUUCUAAUAGAAGAUUAAGAAGACUGCUUUAGAUAAAACUAAUAUUGAUAUGGCAUGUGGUUUGGAGGUUAGGGUUGUUAGCUUAUGAUUGUACAGUCGUGAGUUCAAUUCCCGGUGAUACUUUGUGCCAUUGAGCAAGACACUCUAUUUCAUGUUGCUCCAGUCCACUCAGCUGGCAAAAAUGAAUUAUACCUGUAUUUCAAAGGGGCCAGCCUUGUCUCAUUGCAUGUUAUGCUGAAUUUCACUCGGAACUACAUUAAGGGUGAAAAAUUAUUGCAGCCGUAAAUCCUUAUUAAGGGUAGAGGGAUUAUUGCAACUGUAAAUCUUUAUCAAGGGAUUAUUGUAGUAGUUAAAUACAAGAACCAGCAGAUACUAGCAUUUAAUUUCAAGUUCAAACUCAAUCAGAACUUUGUCUUUGCUCCCACAAAAGGGGUCAAUGAAAUGGGUACAGAUCAGCUGACCCCUUCCUCAAUCAGUCACCUACAUGACCCCUUUCUAUGAAAAUUAUAAUCCAACUAGAUUAUCUUAUAACGGAUAAUCUAGAUGGAUUUCUUUAGAAAUCCUUAUUUAACCAACAAAUCCCUGUAUAAGGUUCAUUACUGUUAAUUUAUUAAGGCAUAUACUCUGAUUAGAAACACUGGCCCUAUACUGUGGAAAUGGGGUGAAAUGCCUUUCUCAAGAGUUUAUUGUCUAAUGUGAGAGAGGGGUGCUUGCAUCAAGCGGGGAUUGAAACUGCAAAGCAAAUUUUGAAUCAGUGAGUUCUUAUCUCUUGUUCAGCAAUACUCACUGCAUUACAGCUAACAUAUAAUAGCAGUAGUGCUCCAGCAUGGCAACAAACCAGAGCGCAUAAAGACUAUAAAGCUGUAAAAAGAGAUGCAAUUCUAUUGAGAAUUUCUAGGUGUCUUUGAAAAUACACUUGCUGGACAAUAUAUAUAUAUAUAUAUAUAUAUAUAUAUAUAUAUGUAUGUAUGUAUAUAUAUAUAUAUGUAUGUAUGUAUAUAUAUAUAUAUGUAUGUAUGUAUAUAUAUUGUCCAGAAUCCCAUGAGUUAGACAAAAGCAAGCACUCAUUCUGUGUAACAGAGGAGAAAAUGCUUAGUUUGUUAUGUUCUGGGUUCAAACGCUGCUGAUGUCAACUUUGCCUUUCAUCCUUUCAGGGUCAAGAAAAUAAGUACCAGUCAUGCACUGGGAUCAAUGUCAUCAACUUACCCCUCCACUGAAAAUAACUGUUUUUUUGCUAAAAUUGGGAAGGAUUAUAUAUGUAAUAUCAUAGUCUCAUGGUAACCAAAUUGCCAAAUGGUUUCAUGCCAGAAAUAGGGAGGCAAAUCCAGCAAUCAUCAGAUAUGCAUGAAUGGAAGAGCAUGGUCUGAGCUCUUUGCCACUGGAAGCCUGAAAGGGUCAUAUGGGAUUUAUGGGGUUUUGAGAUUCCAUUAAAAGCAGAAAGAAAUUCAUGGAUGCAAUAUAUCCAAGAGGAGAGAGUGUGUGUGUGUGUGUGUGUGUGUGACUUUAUAUGGAAAUGGUUCUUGGUCUAAAACACGAGGGUUUAUUAAUUGUAUAGCUGUAGUGUGUUUGUUGGCACAGAUGGUUGAGAGCUAUCUUAGUUUCUUGACAAUAAUAUUUAGUUCAGUGCCUCAUAUCUCUGAGUUCAAUUCCUGCCAGAGCCGAAUUUAUUAGUCAUGCCAGGAAUAAACUGGAAUUAAUAUAUUUAAAUUAUUAAAUCUCUAUUAGUAUUCAAACUGGAGUUGAAUUAGCACAAACAAAUGGUCUUACUUUUUUGUUGUCUGUUGUAGCAGUGGUUGUAGUAGUAUUAGUGGUAGUUAGUUGCAAAUAUAAUCUACCCUUACUCGUUUAUACUUUUAUAAUUACAGGGUUUAAUCUCAUAGAAUAUUUUUUAUUAUCAUUAUUAUUAUUAAGGUGGUGAGCUGGCUAAAUCGUUAGCAUGUCGGGCGAAAUGCUUAGCAGUAUUGCAUCUGCCUUUACGUUCUGAGUUCAAAUUCAAGCAUGGCUUAUCCUUUGUUUUUCAUUUUUUCGGGGUCAAUUAAAUUAAGUACCAGUUAAGUACUGAGGGUCGAUGUAAUCAACUUAACCCCUCCCCACAAAUUUCAGGCCUUGUACCUAUAGUAGAAAGGAUUAUCAUUAUUAUUAUUAAGGCGAUGAGCUGGCAGAAUUGUUAGCAUGCCGAGUGACGUGCGGUUUUGUCUGCCGCUAUGUUCUGAGUUCAAAUUCCACUGAGGUCGACUUUGCCUUUCAUCCUUUCGGGGUCAAUGUAAUUGGCUUAUCUCCUCCCCCUAAAUGUCAGGCCUUGUACCUUUACUAGAAAGGGUUAUUAAGGGGAUCAGCUGGCAGAAUCCUUAGCAUGCCAAGCAAAAAUUCUUUGUGGGAUUUCUCCUGGUUUUACAUUCUAGGUUCAAAUUCCACCGGGGUGACUUUGCCUUUCGUCCUGUUGGGAUUCAUAAAAUAAGUACCAGUUGAAUACUGGGGUUCAAUGUAAUUGAUCAACCACUUCGCCUGAAAUUGCUGGCCUUGAGCCAAAAUUUGAAACUAUUAUUAUUAUUACUAUUAUUCGUCUGUCUUUACAUUCUGAGUUCAAACUCUGCCAAGGUUGACUUUGCCUUUCAUCCUUUCAGGGUCAAUGAAAUAAGUACCAGUUAUGCACUGGGGUUGAUGUAAUUGAUAACCUUCCUCCCCCAAAGUCUCAGGCCUUGUGCCUAUUACUAAGGCAGUGAGCUGGCAGAAUUGUUAGCACGCUGGACAAAAUGCUUAGCAGUAUUUCGUUUGCUGCUAUGUUCUGAGUUCAAAUUCUGCUGAGGUCGACUUUGCCUUUCAUCCUUUCGGGGUCGAUAAUUUAAGUACCAGUUACGCACUGGGGUCAAUGUAAUCGACUAGCCCCCUAACCCAAAAUUUCAGGCCUUGUGCCCUUAGUAGAAAUUAUUAUUAUUAUUAUUAUUAUUAGUAGUAGUAGUAGUAGUAGUAGUAGUAAAGAGCAGUGGAUAAGCGGAAUUGUUUGAGUAGCAGAAAAAAAAUGCCUUUUGGUAUUUGUUUCAGCCCUUUGCAUUCUGAGUUCAAAUCCUGCUGAGGUCAACCUUGCCUUUCAUGCUUUCAGGCUUAAUUAAAUAAAUAUGAGUUGAACACUGGAAGGGUUGAUGUAAUUGACUUCCCCCUCCCCUCAAAAUUACUGGUACUGUGCCUAAUUUUGAAACAGUUAUUCAAGAUAGCAGUAUUUUGUCCAUCUGUAUGUUCAUCAGUUUGAAUUCCACCAAGGUGGACUUGGACCUUCAUCCUUUUGGGGUUGAUAAAAUAAGAACCAGUGGGGGUGGGGGGGUGGGUGUCAAUGUAAUCAAUUAGUCCCUUUCCCCAAAAUUUCAGGCCUUGUAGAAGAAAGGAUUGUUAUUGAGAUUGAAGAAUAUCAGAAUCGGUAACUCUCAGGAGAAAAUGGUUAUAAUUUAGUUAUGUCACCUCAAAAUCUUGCUAGAGACACCUUUUGCUUUCAAAUUUUUGUAUAUGUGUGCAUAUGUAUAUGUAUGUAGAUGUAUGCAUGUGUGCAUGUAUGUAUAUAUAUGCAUAUAAUAUGCACAGGAGUGGCUGUGUAGUAGGUAGCUUGCUUACCAGCCACAUAAUCUCACUGCUUGACACUUUGGACAAGUACUACUUUCGCCUCAGGCUGACCAAACCUAUCAGCGCCCACUACACUCACAGAGUGGUUGGUGUUAGGAAGGGCAUCCAGCCAUAGAAACAUUGCCAGAUCAGACUGGGCCUGGUGCAGGCUUCUGGCCUCCCAGACCCCAGUUGAACUGUCCAACUCAUGCUAGCAUGGAAAGCGGACGCUAGAUGAUGAUGAUAUAUACACAUACAUAUAUAUGUAUAUAUAUAUAUAUAUGUAUGUGUAUAUAUAUAUAUAUAUAUAUAUAUAUAUAUAUAUAUAUAUAAUAAUAAUUAAUAUUAAUAUUCGGGAAGUUAUUUCCGAGUCCACAGGGGAGAGAAGUUCAAUUUAGUGGUACUAAAAUGAAUUACUGUAUUAUAUACAUAUAAAUAAAUAGGUUUAAGAGACAGAAUCACCUUCAAGCAACUCAAUCAUCAUUGAAUGACAUGUUUUUUAAAUGUUAAUAAGAAUUAUCUCCCCUACAAAGUAGCUCUCAAAGUUGGAUUAUACAAUUGCUUGUAGCCAUGUUUAAUUCAUGGAGAGAAAAUUACCAUACAGAUAAGUUAACAUUUCCUUUUACUAAUAUUUCUUCUACUUUUAUUCCACAUUUCUGUUCUUUAUUUACUGAAGUAAAAUUAUUCCAACAACUUCUAGUUAUAUAAUUUUAGUUUGCCAUGUCUUAAUAUACAAUGUAAAUAGCAAAAUAAGUUCAUAGAAGAUAGACCUGAAGAUUGGCAAUAUAAUCGUUUUAAUAUGGUAUUGUAUUUAGAGACAUUCUAUUUCAGCAAUAUCAAGUAAUAUGUUGCCAUGAAACGCGCGUAGUCUAGAUGAUGUAAAGUAUAUUAUUUGUAGUAAGAAUUGAAGGUAUUAAUUUGAUAAUUUGGAAUAAGAAUUGUAGGUAUUAAUUUUGAUAAUUUUAAUAUUUAGUCCUAUAUGUACCUAUUGUGGAUAAUGUCAUUCAAUGAUGAUUGAGUUGCUUGAGGGUGAUUCUGUCUCUUAAGCCUAUCUAUAUCUAUCUAUCUAUC
This 11494-nucleotide long non-coding RNA is filed under the name Octopus vulgaris (common octopus). Lineage: Eukaryota; Metazoa; Mollusca; Cephalopoda; Octopoda; Octopodidae. The record is from RNAcentral.